RNAcentral lists this ribosomal RNA (468 nucleotides) under uncultured bacterium. RNAcentral's name for it is "partial 16S ribosomal RNA". It matches the Rfam family "Bacterial small subunit ribosomal RNA", at positions 28 to 507 of the family's 1533-position model. The record is from RNAcentral.
GACGAACGCUGGCGGCGUGCUUAACACAUGCAAGUCGAACGGAAAGGCCCUGCUUUUGUGGGGUGCUCGAGUGGCGAACGGGUGAGUAACACGUGAGUAACCUUCCCUUUACUUUGGGAUAACUUCAGGAAACUGGGGCUAAUACCGGAUAGGAGCUCCUGCUGCAUGGUGGGGGUUGGAAAGUUUCGGCGGUUGGGGAUGGACUCGCGGCUUAUCAGCUUGUUGGUGGGGUAGUGGCUUACCAAGGCUUUGACGGGUAGCCGGCCUGAGAGGGUGACCGGCCACAUUGGGACUGAGAUACGGCCCAGACUCCUACGGGAGGCAGCAGUGGGGAAUAUUGCACAAUGGGCGGAAGCCUGAUGCAGCAACGCCGCGUGCGGGAUGACGGCCUUCGGGUUGUAAACCGCUUUCGCCUGUGACGAAGCGUGAGUGACGGUAAUGGGUAAAGAAGCACCGGCUAACUACGUG